GCCGGUGUGGCUCAGUGGAUAGAGCGUUGGCCUGCAGGGCCAAAGGGUCCCAUGCUCGAUUCUGGUCAAGGGCA
RNAcentral lists this transfer RNA (74 nucleotides) under Myotis davidii. It matches the Rfam family "tRNA". Rfam says of the family: Transfer RNA (tRNA) molecules are approximately 80 nucleotides in length. Their secondary structure includes four short double-helical elements and three loops (D, anti-codon, and T loops). Further hydrogen bonds mediate the characteristic L-shaped molecular structure. tRNAs have two regions of fundamental functional importance: the anti-codon, which is responsible for specific mRNA codon recognition, and the 3' end, to which the tRNAs corresponding amino acid is attached (by aminoacyl-tRNA synthetases). tRNAs cope with the degeneracy of the genetic code in two manners: having more than one tRNA (with a specific anti-codon) for a particular amino acid; and 'wobble' base-pairing, i.e. permitting non-standard base-pairing at the 3rd anti-codon position. Lineage: Eukaryota; Metazoa; Chordata; Mammalia; Chiroptera; Vespertilionidae. The record is from Rfam by way of RNAcentral.